GCUGCUGUGGUGCAACGGAAGCCAUGCCUCGUCCUCGGCGAGGGGAUCCCGGUUCGAAUCCGGGCGGCAGCA
RNAcentral lists this transfer RNA (72 nucleotides) under Methanobacteriota archaeon. RNAcentral describes it as "Euryarchaeota archaeon tRNA-Glu". The record is from RNAcentral. Lineage: Archaea; Methanobacteriati; Methanobacteriota.